Molecule: transfer RNA, 72 nt
Filed under: Chitinophaga agrisoli
Lineage: Bacteria; Pseudomonadati; Bacteroidota; Chitinophagia; Chitinophagales; Chitinophagaceae
Description: Chitinophaga sp. BN140078 tRNA-Asp
Rfam family: tRNA
About the family: Transfer RNA (tRNA) molecules are approximately 80 nucleotides in length. Their secondary structure includes four short double-helical elements and three loops (D, anti-codon, and T loops). Further hydrogen bonds mediate the characteristic L-shaped molecular structure. tRNAs have two regions of fundamental functional importance: the anti-codon, which is responsible for specific mRNA codon recognition, and the 3' end, to which the tRNAs corresponding amino acid is attached (by aminoacyl-tRNA synthetases). tRNAs cope with the degeneracy of the genetic code in two manners: having more than one tRNA (with a specific anti-codon) for a particular amino acid; and 'wobble' base-pairing, i.e. permitting non-standard base-pairing at the 3rd anti-codon position.
Source: RNAcentral
CGGGCUGUAAUUUAAUUGGAAAAAUGGCAUCCUGUCAAGAUGGUUACGCAGGUUCGAUUCCUGUCAGCCUGU